GGGACUUGUAGUUCUCCCAGAUGGUGUCAACUUGAUCGGCGAGGGCUGUGGUUGCGUGCUCAGCCCCAGGAUAGUAAGGGUGACUUCCCAGCUUUUGGUGACAGCCUAACACUUCGGGGCCCUGGGCCGGUUGGAUUCUUUGUUUCGUCUCUCGGCUUUAGCUUUACAUAGGGUAAGUCACGGAGGGGCUACAAUUACCCACUGCAGGGCCCCAUCCUUUAUUUCUGAGAGCGACCUCGUUCUGGCGGAGCCAUUUGUCCCUUAGCUCUCGCCGUAGCAGCCGCCGCCCAUCCCUCUUUGUGUGCACUAGGAAUCCGCCCGAGCUUGUGGUGGCUACAGUUGGCGUUGGGGCUUAGACUAGGGACGUUGCCGGGAAGUUGUAGAAGGGACGACUCUUCCCCAUCCCGCCACCUGACAGGUGAGUUGAUGGUUCUUUCCUCAAGGCCC
Molecule: long non-coding RNA, 447 nt
Filed under: Marmota monax (woodchuck)
Lineage: Eukaryota; Metazoa; Chordata; Mammalia; Rodentia; Sciuridae
Source: RNAcentral